RNAcentral lists this long non-coding RNA (286 nucleotides) under Mytilus galloprovincialis (Mediterranean mussel). Lineage: Eukaryota; Metazoa; Mollusca; Bivalvia; Mytilida; Mytilidae. The record is from RNAcentral.
AUCUAGUCAAGGGUUCAAUCUUAUCAGGUUUAUCAGACUUUCUCUAUAACGAAUACCUUCGGAGUUUUGUACUUUUGUUAAUAUAUUUUUCCUCCAUCACUGUUGAAGGUUUAUGGGGGAUUGUUCAUUUUUAUACGACCGCAAAAAUUGAAAAAUUUUUGGUCGUAUAUUGGUAUGAUGUUGGCGUCGUCGUCUGCGUCGUCGUCAUCGUCGUCGUCCGAAUACUUUUAGUUUUCGCACUCUAACUUUAGUAAAUGUGAAUAAAAAUUUAUGAAAUUUUAACACA